This is a long non-coding RNA of Manacus vitellinus (golden-collared manakin), 954 nucleotides long. RefSeq lists it as uncharacterized. The record is from RefSeq and is a predicted model, not a curated record. The transcript is spliced from 6 exons. Lineage: Eukaryota; Metazoa; Chordata; Aves; Passeriformes; Pipridae.
ACUCCACUGGGAGGUGAUUUACAUAAAACAUGCUUCUCUUGUUAUAGACAGGAGCUUUGUGCUGGGCUAGAGAGACGAGGAGAUGAAGAUGUGUUGUUCAGCUCAUUUUUCUGGUGCUCCCAAAAGAAGGACUAGCCUGACAAUGCCAUUAAGAAUCACAGAAGAAAUCAAAGACUUUGGAAGCUAAAAGUCAAAAAUCUAAAAAGUAAAGUAUCCCUGAUUUUCUGGGGGGAUUGUGCAGAUCAGUGUUUCUGUGGCUGUGAGAAAACCCAAGCAGAGCUUUGUUCCUGAGACCUGAUCACACCAACUACCCUGCUCUGGGGGAUAUGAAGGCCCUGUCAAACACAGCUCCCCAGUAGUGAUUAUCUAGGCCAAGCCCUUGGACUUCUGCUUGCAUAUCUUCCCCUUCAAUCUGUCAUAGUGCCUGGGGCCAUUACCAAAAUGAAGGCAUCAGGUGCCCCCAGUGGGACUCUUCUUGCUGAACAUGAAAAUCUCCAGUCUCCGUGAGCUGAGCUGAUCACCUUGCACACCUGUUAUUGUUAAGGGAAGAAACAGGCCCUUUUAUGGCUCAGGUUGUUUGCUCCAUCCUGGCACCUGUAUCAGGACAGCAACACCAUGCCCUGCAAGUGUCCUUUUGCUCUGCUGCCUGUGCAGACUCAGGGCAGCUGUCACAAGGAUAAAGAUCUGCGUUUUGUUAAAUCAGUCAAGGAGCCUUUGAAGAUAUCUUCUAACUCCAGACAUAAGGAAGUAUGAGAGCAGGCAAUGGUCUCCCAGAAGUCCUGCAUCAGAUGUGGCUUGGAUGUCCUAGGAGGUCUCAAAGGGUGUUAGAGAUGUCUGAAAUACUAUACAUCUCACUCCAACAGAAAAAGUCCAAACCCUUCUGCUUGAGACAAAGAAAUGGCAUUGUAGCAUCUGUGAAGUGCCUUUUUUAACCAUUUGCCAUCCUGCAUAGUA